RNA transcript from Physella acuta, 2420 nucleotides. It is a transcript of the gene named transformer-2 protein homolog beta, with no coding region annotated. NCBI's taxonomy places the organism in Eukaryota, Metazoa, Mollusca, Gastropoda, Physidae. The record is from RefSeq and is a predicted model, not a curated record.
AGCCCACUUAAAGUCAACUUCCGCUGCCUAGCUGAACUGAGAAGUAAAGUCAAGUUUUGACCCGACCAAUAAAAUAAUUACAAGUUUACCAUAUUUUCAUAUAAUCAGUGUCAGUUGAAAUGGCUAGUGAUAAAGAGACAUCACCCAGCAGAUCAAGGCAAAUGGAUGACAGAAAGAAGCAUAGAAAAUUAAGUUCUCGUGAUCAGAGUCCUCGUCACAAAGGAAAGCGUAGAAGCUCAAGCAGCUCUCACAGAAGUCCAUUGUCAUCUAGAUCUGCAAGUCCUUCAGAAAAACAUAGGAUGAAAAAGAAUGAGAAGACUAGCAGAGGGCGAGAUGAUAGAUCAAGGAGCCGCACUCCUACUGCAUAUCGCAAAGAUGGUGGCGAUAGCAGAGAUGACCCUAAUGUUUGCCACUGUCUUGGAGUUUUUGGACUCAGCAGCUAUACACAAGAAAAGGAUCUGAGAGAAGUGUUUGGAAAAUAUGGACCUAUUGAUGACAUUUGUAUUAUUUAUGAUCGUCAAAGUGGACAUUCUAAAGGAUAUGGAUUUGUUUACUUCAAAUCAACAUCUGAUGCUGUUGAGGCACGCCGAGAGACUCAAGGAUUAGUCCUGGAUCGACGACCUAUUAGAGUUGAUUAUUCAUUCACAACCCGGCCACAUUCACCAACUCCUGGCAGAUACAUGGGUAGAAGGGAUCUGGACAAAUAUUACAGCCAUGAUAAUGGUGACUAUGAAGAUCGUCCAAGCUACCGUGACAGUGGUCGCAGAGGGAGUUAUCGCGACAGGCAGCACUAUUGUGACUAUGACAGAGAUGAAUACCGUGAUGAGUAUGAGGAAAGCUACUCAUCCAGGCGAUCAUCCAGACGAUAUUCUCCAUAUUCACGUAAGUAAAGGUGAAUGCUCAUAUGAAGUCUUAGAUGUUGAACAUUGAAGAUGAUACAUUUGAAAUGAAGAAAGAACUAACAAGUAUAAAUGAAAAUACUUGAAGUCUUGACAAGUCACAACAAAUGUAAAGAGAAUUUUAGCAAUGUUCAUCUCUGAAAAAUGAAUUUAUAACAGAAAAUGAAUGAAGAAAGAAUUAUAGAAGCACAAAUGGAAAUGAGAAGAGGAAUGAAUAUAAAGAAAAAUUAGCAUAGUUACUGGUAUGUGAUGAAGUGUUGGCUUUCUUCAUCUGAAAUGAGAAAAAGCUCAGGUUACAAAAUAUCAAUUUUCCUAAAGAAUAACCUGAAGUGGAAGUAGUGAAAUAUCAGUAUUUGAGCUGAACAUUUGGUGCAAAAUAGUUCUUCAGCUGGUUUCUUCGCUAAAUUUGAAAGCUCUAAUUGCUCUUUGUAAUGUUACAUCUCAAAUGUUCUUUUAAACCUCCAGAAGUUAUUUAGGUGGAUGGUACAAUGGUAUGCAAAAAAACGUUUCAUUAGGUGAAGAUAAGAAAUCUACAAAGAAGAGGAAGUUGACAAACGUUUUGGAAAUCUGUUAAUUCACUAAUUCAAGUGAUGCAGUCCUUUAUAAUGAACUCAGCAUAGUAAUGGAAGUCAUUUUGGUAACAAUAUUUGGAAGAUACUGGCAAAAGACAAGAACUGAGUUUUGUUCAUGUCAAUUUUUUUUCUCACUUGUGGUUAACUUUCUACAUAGUAUAGUAUUUUGUUUGACAUACUGCAGACAAUGGAUACAAUAGAAUGAUAAACAUAUUUGAAAAAUAAGUAUUUCCAGUGAUGUUUUAUUUUUUUAAAUGUUUUAUUUUUUAAGCAUUUUAAAUAUUUAAGUAUAAAAAAUUAGAUGAGGGGUUAGUUUUUUUUAAUAACUGGAGUGACCUUUUAUCGUAAACCGCUUAUAUCUAUUUAGGUUAAGCUAUUUAGACUCAAGCAUAAACUCUAAUUCGAUUUUCUUGUCUAUUUUUUUUUCAAUUUAUUUUCUCAACUUUAUAUAUAUAUAUUUUUAGUAUCUUUGAAAAACGCAUGGGCUGUUGACUUGGCAGUAUAUGAAAUAUAAAAAUGUUUUAAUGACUGUAAAGGGUUAAAUAAAUAAUUUUUUCAUGAUUAUUGUCUAUCUUUAUGUAUAGGACUUAACUAGCACUCAGAUCUUUAUUUUCCUGCAUAUUUUGUCACAUGUUGUUGGUUAAUAUUAAUAAUUCAGAUUAGACUAUUUAAAAUAAGACUUUAGAAUUUUUUUUAUUGGUAAUUACAUAUUGUGCAGUAAAAUAAUUUCUCGUAUUUAUAUUACUUAAAUUAUUUUUGAAUUAGUAGGAUUUUAAGGUUAAUCUUCAGGUAGGUUUCAACACUUAAAAGCUUUUUCUGUGUAUCGAUGUCUCUAUGGUUCAACCAGAUUAUAAAAACGUUUAUAUUUAACUUUGGUAACAGUAAUUAUAUUAUGUGUAAAUGCAGUGUCAGUUUGGAUUCACUUAAAUAAAUUUAAAUUUCAAUGAUU